RNAcentral lists this ribosomal RNA (233 nucleotides) under uncultured bacterium. RNAcentral describes it as "partial 16S ribosomal RNA". It matches the Rfam family "Bacterial small subunit ribosomal RNA", at positions 29 to 244 of the family's 1533-position model. The record is from RNAcentral.
AACGAACGCUGGCGGCGUGGAUAAGACAUGCAAGUCGAGCGGGAACUUUUUUGGUAGCAAUACCGAAAAGUUCUGGCGGCGAACGGGUGCGUAACACGUGGACAAUCUGCCUUAAAGUGGGGGAUAGCUCGGCGAAAGCCGAAUUAAUACCGCAUGUGAUGAGAGACGACAUCGUCUUGAAAUCAAAGCCGGGGCAACCGUGGCGUCUUUUUGAGGAGUCCGCGGCCUAUCAG